This is an RNA transcript of Sphaeramia orbicularis (orbiculate cardinalfish), 985 nucleotides long. It is a transcript of the gene named centrosomal protein 15, with no coding region annotated. The record is from RefSeq and is a predicted model, not a curated record. Lineage: Eukaryota; Metazoa; Chordata; Actinopteri; Kurtiformes; Apogonidae. The transcript has 5 exons.
UGUAGCUUGACGCCACAUCUCUGAGACGGAAGAAAAGCAGCACAGUCAGUCCAAAUGUCCAAGUCUGCGUCCGAAGAGAUGGAAUUAAUCGAGAAACACGAGGAAAUUUUAGGGAGGAGGUCAUUGGUGCUACAGCAGAUGGACCAACGCUACCAUCAGAUCAAAGUCCAGAAGAAACAGCGUCUGAAGGAGCGAGAGGACGCUCGGAUCAGGAACGACGCACUGAUGCAGCACUUACAGAAGCUGGAAGCUGGUCUGAGAGCAGGUCGACUGCCUGAUCCGACUCUACAGGCUCUGGAGACCCGGUACUGGGCCUCUGUGGAGGAGUCCGUUCCAGCCUGGGAGCUCUUCCUCCAGGGUAAAGGUCCUCAUCCCAUCGACAGUCCUGGUUCUGGACCUGGGGGGGUCAAGCAGGCCCCCAGUAAAGACCAUGGUCGGCCUCCUCGGCCCAGACCUGGCCCAGUCCGACGCUGAUGCUGCCACUGUUACACCUUUCAAACUGGUCUGGGUCUGUCCACCAGAACCAGAGAAGUGUGAGAACGUCCGUGAAGGAGGCUCCAAGCAGAGACCCACCAAACUGUUUAUUUCACCCACGACUCCAACAAAACCUGGACCGCAACGGCAGCUGGUCCCAACAUCUGGACCCUCUGAAGGCCCCAACAUCCACCAGGUUCAAGGGUCACAGUUACAGCCACGGCUUUAAUAUGCAUCACUUUGAGCAGGUCCAAUCCACCAUCUUUACCCAGUUUUAGACCAGUUUAUCCCCCUGGUAUCGGAUCCAUAGAGGUCCUUUAACCACCUAAAGCCCAUAAUACGCAUAUGAGUCGUACUAAUGUCAAAAUGUUUUUCAUAGUUUGUUCUUUAACUUUUUUUUUUUUUUUUACUUUUUUUUGUAUUUCAUCAACUUGACUCAUAAACAAAAAUACCAAAUAAUCAUUAAGUGUCAUAUUUUAACCCUUUAAAUGCCUUGUUUGUGAUGUAAAUA